ACGAACGCUGGCGGCGUGCCUAAUACAUGCAAGUUGAGCGCUGAAGGUUGGUACUUGUACCAACUGGAUGAGCAGCGAACGGGUGAGUAACGCGUGGGGAAUCUGCCUUUGAGCGGGGGACAACAUUUGGAAACGAAUGCUAAUACCGCAUAAAAACUUUAAACACAAGUUUUAAGUUUGAAAGAUGCAAUUGCAUCACUCAAAGAUGAUCCCGCGUUGUAUUAGCUAGUUGGUGAGGUAAAGGCUCACCAAGGCGAUGAUACAUAGCCGACCUGAGAGGGGGAUCGGCCACAGUAGGACUGAGACACGGCCCAAACUCCUACGGGAGGCAGCAGUAGGGAAUCUUCGGCAAUGGACGAAAGUCUGACCGAGCAACGCCGCGGGAGUGAAGAAGGGUGUCGGAUCGUAAAAAUCUGUUGGUAGAGAAGAACGUUGGUGAGAGUGGAAAGCUCAUCAAGUGACGGUAACUACCCAGAAAGGGACGGCUAACUACGUG
This 496-nucleotide ribosomal RNA is filed under the name uncultured bacterium. Its description in RNAcentral is "partial 16S ribosomal RNA". It matches the Rfam family "Bacterial small subunit ribosomal RNA", at positions 29 to 507 of the family's 1533-position model. The record is from RNAcentral.